AGAAGAAUGUUUGGACUUAGCUUAUUUUGGAUAGGUUACUGAUAGAAAUUAUAAUCUGUUAAUAAUUACAUCAGAUAGCUAUUUCUCUAAAUUUUAAUGACCACCCUAUUUGUAUAAUAAUUUAGAAAUAUAUCUAACAGCUAAAAUAAACAUGUAAAUUAAUGUCCUAUUUCAGCUUAAAGGUUUUGAGGUCUUACAGAUAACAAUUCUAGGAGACAUGCCCUAACUUAUCAAAAAAUUCUUAGUAAAUCAUCUGGUCUUUGAACAAAAUCUAGAAACAAAAUUUUGCCCAUUUUAUUAUGGUUAAAAAUAUAUUUUGAAGUUUUAUUUAAGAAAUGAUCUAAUUGUCAGGUUAAGUUGCAAUUCAUGGUUUAACUUAGUUUGAUAAAUUCCUUUUAGUAUACAACUCAUUUUAAUAUACAGUGAAGACACAGGUCUUUUGCAACAUAAAAAGAUAUAAAAAAACGAAAAUUUUAAAUAAGUUUCUAAAUAAUGGAAGAAGUGAAAAAGAACAACACAAAGAAAAUAAAGAAGUAACCUCUUUCACCCACUGAAAUAAUCUCUGGAAAAGAUAUUAGCAAUCAUGCAGCUUAUAAAUAUCUAAAGGGCUAGAAUUGAGGAAUUUAUAAGAAUAAAUUUUUUUUUCAACACAUAAAAUACAACAUGGGAAAUAAGAUGUUUUUUACUAACAGGCAAACACUUGAGGAGUCCUCUUCAAAGACUACAGUGGAUGAAAGAACAGUUAUCCAAAGGAAACGGUUAGUAGAAAUAUAAAGUUAGUCCCACACAAAAUUAAAAUGUGCUCAAUGCAGAUUAUCUAUCAUAAAACAUUUUUAAAGCAAUUAUAUUUAAAUAAAUUCCCUUGAAUUUUUGUUAGAGGUAUCAAUUUUGCAAGUAAGGAAAAAUAAAAAUAGUAUAUUGCCUUCAGUUAGGUCAAAAACCAAAAGUUUUUUAAAAAUGCACACAUACCAAAAAACCCCACAUUAGUUUUAACACUAAGUUACUCAGUUCUAUUGGAAUCUGUAUUUUAGAACUGAGCAGGACCUUAAAACUCACCUAUUCUACAUGCUCAUUUUGGAAACAAGGACGAAGAACCAGUCUAAGUGACUUAUUUAAGGUCAUGCAGUCAGUUAGAAGCAAAGCUCGCACUAGAGUACAGACCUUCUGACUAUUAAGUUAAUUAUAUUCUCCAUACUACCUCAAACUGCCUACUCUCUGGGAAACUGCCUGUUAGGAUUUUUUAACACACUCAUCAACCUAGAAAGUUUCUGUCUUAUGCAAACAGGCCCCUUUCCUUCCUUGUCCUUCUUCUCCAAGGUUCCUAAAGGGGCAGAAAGACCAUUAUUUCCCAUAUGCUCUACAGAGCUCCAGUGCUUUUUAGUCAUUCAGAGCACAUCUCCACAGAGUUGCAAGACUGAAAAGCCAAAUCUCCAGAUCCUUUACUUUCUGUAUGAUCCUCAGAAGCAUGGAGAGACCAAGGGAACAAUAAGCCAUAGGAUAAAGAGGAUGGAGAGAGGGAGGAACAUGAAUUAUAGGAUAGAGGAAAAUGGGCAAAAAAUAGAAAAUAAAAGACGCAGAGGAAACUUGUUACUUCCUCUGUCUGGGAAAGAAAGUGAUAGAAACAUUAGUUAUUAAUUGUCUCCUUUACCUCUCCCUUGAACACUGUGCAACCUGCAGAUGUGGAAAAAGACCAAGUGAAGUUGUUACUUGAUAUCCUGAAAAUGUCAGAAACUCAAAGAUAAGGAAGAGAGAAUGUACUGGAAAGUGAUAUUGUCACGGUGAAAUGAAUCUUAGAGGACAUGAAAGAAAACUUAGGAUCCAUGUGACUUCUGAAAUAAUUUUGGAUAAUUGAGGCAAGAACUUAGAAGAAAA
This 1872-nucleotide long non-coding RNA is filed under the name Homo sapiens (human). Its description in RNAcentral is "HSALNT0341685". Lineage: Eukaryota; Metazoa; Chordata; Mammalia; Primates; Hominidae. The record is from RNAcentral.